Parelaphostrongylus tenuis is the source of this 74-nucleotide non-coding RNA. The record is from the annotation of a GenBank genome assembly. Lineage: Eukaryota; Metazoa; Nematoda; Chromadorea; Rhabditida; Metastrongylidae.
GCCUCGGUGGUGUAGUGGUUAAAGCACGCGUCCCCGGAUAGGGUGAAACGCGUGUUCGAUUUCCGCUUGAGGCC